Molecule: ribosomal RNA, 500 nt
Filed under: uncultured bacterium
Lineage: Bacteria
Description: partial 16S ribosomal RNA
Rfam family: Bacterial small subunit ribosomal RNA
Source: RNAcentral
AUUGAACGCUGGCGGAAUGCCUUACACAUGCAAGUCGAACGGCAGCACGGACUUCGGUCUGGUGGCGAGUGGCGAACGGGUGAGUAAUGUAUCGGAACGCGCCCAGUCGUGGGGGAUAACGUAGUGAAAAUUACGCUAAUACCGCAUACGAUCUAUGGAUGAAAGCGGGGGAUCGCAAGACCUCGCGCGAUUGGAGCGGCCGAGAGCAGAUUAGGUAGUUGGGGGGGUAAAGGCCCACCAAGCCAACGAUCUGUAGCUGGUCUGAGAAGACGACCAGCCACACUGGAACUGAGACACGGUCCAGACUCCUACGGGAGGCAGCAGUGGGGAAUUUUGGACAAUGGGCGAAAGCCUGAUCCAGCCAUUCCGCGUGCAGGAUGAAGGCCCUCGGGUUGUAAACUGCUUUUGUACAGAACGAAAAGGUUUCUACUAAUACUAGGAGCUCAUGACGGUACUGUAAGAAUAAGCACCGGCUAACUACGUGCCAGCAGCCGCCGUAA